UUAAACUGAAGAGUUUGAUCCUGGCUCAGAUUGAACGCUGGCGGCAUGCCUUACACAUGCAAGUCGAACGGCAGCACGGGUGCUUGCACCUGGUGGCGAGUGGCGAACGGGUGAGUAAUACAUCGGAACAUGUCCUGUAGUGGGG
RNAcentral lists this ribosomal RNA (145 nucleotides) under Burkholderia cenocepacia. RNAcentral's name for it is "partial 16S ribosomal RNA". It matches the Rfam family "Bacterial small subunit ribosomal RNA", at positions 1 to 141 of the family's 1533-position model. Lineage: Bacteria; Pseudomonadati; Pseudomonadota; Betaproteobacteria; Burkholderiales; Burkholderiaceae. The record is from RNAcentral.